RNAcentral lists this non-coding RNA (66 nucleotides) under Stauroneis constricta. Lineage: Eukaryota; Bacillariophyta; Bacillariophyceae; Naviculales; Stauroneidaceae. The record is from RNAcentral.
UUAUUUUUGUUUUUGUUGGAGAUGGUAUAAAUAAAAGGAAAGAAAUAAAGAAUGAUAAGAUAACUU